Molecule: ribosomal RNA, 930 nt
Filed under: Ekuarhuni papillatum
Lineage: Eukaryota; Metazoa; Platyhelminthes; Trematoda; Plagiorchiida; Haploporidae
Description: partial large subunit ribosomal RNA
Rfam family: Eukaryotic large subunit ribosomal RNA
Source: RNAcentral
AAAGUACUUUGAAGAGAGAGUAAACAGUGCGUGAAACCGCUCAGAGGUAAACGGGUGGAGUUGAACUGCAAGCUCUGUGAAUUCAGCUGGUGAGCAUGGUUUGAGCUUGGUUAAAUUGGUUGAGCUUCGAGGUCUGCGUAUUAGCAGGUCUUUGCCUUCGGGUGGAGAUGCGCGGUACACCUACCAAGUGUUGUGCGCUUCGGAGUUUCGGAUCAGCUCGCCAGUGCACUUUUGCAGAGAGUUCACCACGACCGGCAUCGCUGUCUGACUGUUGUGGUUAAACCGGUCUUGCAUCGUUGUUGAAGCUUUGCUUGAUCGGGAGGGCAGGUAGCUCGUUGGUGUUCCGUGGCUUGCUGCGGUCGUCUUCGGGUGUAAUCAGCUGACUACGAUGGUUCUGUGCAGUAUGUCGGAGACGGCGGCUUGUGUGUGCGUGCGUGCCGUUCUUGUGGGCUUGCUCGUGUCUGACUGUCAUGUGCUUGCGCAAGCAGGCCUGGUAGUGGCUCGGGUUUGUCCUGUGAGUGGUUGCGUGCGUGUCACGUUGCGGGCCAAUAGUCUGUGGUGUAGUGGUAGACGAUCCACCUGACCCGUCUUGAAACACGGACCAAGGAGAGUAACAUGUGCGCGAGUCAUUGGGCGUAACGAAACCCAAAGGCGCAGUGAAAGUAAAGGCUGGAUUCAUUCCAGCUGAGGUGAGAUCCUGCCGUUUCUCAUGCACGGUACUACCAAGCAUCGAGCGGUGGGCGCAUCACCGGCCCGUCCCAUGAUGUAGACACAUAGCUUCGUGCCAGUGCACCGUCGGGGCGGAGCAUGAGCGUACAUGUUGAGACCCGAAAGAUGGUGAACUAUGCUUGCGCAGGUUGAAGCCAGAGGAAACUCUGGUGGAGGACCGCAGCGAUUCUGACGUGCAAUCGAUCGUCAAACGUGAGUAUA